GGUUAGCUCAAUCGGUAGAGCGUGAGACUCUUAAUCUCAAGGUUGCGGGUUCGGUUAGUCAGACCAGCAAACCA
This 74-nucleotide transfer RNA is filed under the name Verruconis gallopava. RNAcentral's name for it is "tRNA-Lys (CTT) (tRNA-Lys-CTT-1-1)". It matches the Rfam family "tRNA", at positions 7 to 64 of the family's 71-position model. From Rfam's summary of the family: Transfer RNA (tRNA) molecules are approximately 80 nucleotides in length. Their secondary structure includes four short double-helical elements and three loops (D, anti-codon, and T loops). The record is from RNAcentral. Lineage: Eukaryota; Fungi; Ascomycota; Dothideomycetes; Venturiales; Sympoventuriaceae.